GAUCCCUGAUUCGUGAACAUAACAUACUCCCAAGUUUAAUGUGAAUGAGCUCAUUUUAUUUUAUUUAUUUAUUUUUGUUUGUGAAGUCCCCAGUGUUUCACUUCCUAUUUUAUUAGAAAAUGUUGAAUUCAUGUCAUUUUUGUUGUGUUGCUUGUCCUAUUUCCAUUUUUUUUCUUCCUAGCUUUCCUAAAGAAUCUCCAACUUAUCUUUCUUGGUGCAUUUUCCUCUUUCCCCCUAACUUCCCCACACGUAAAAGCCCAAAUUUUCAUAGCUUCUCACAUGCACGAGAGGAGCUAGACAGGCAGAAUAAGCAAGUUCAGACAUCUGAUGCCAUACCUGCAUUUUAUGUUUAAAGUUCCUCCAAGAAAGCAAGCUUAAAUUAAAUAUUUUACGACACACUUGUUUUCAUAAUUAUACAAACAUCUUCUAUGAGAACCUCUCAUAGUUGAGUCCCUAUAUAUCUCUGGAAAGCCACAUUUACAUUUUACAUUAUCAACUUAAGGCUUUACAGGAUGGAAAUCUGAUAGAAGUGCCACAAGACAAGAAAAUUUUGCUUUGACAUGAAAUUGAUGCACUGAACAUUUGGGAUCCCAAUUAGUUAAAUAUCGUAGGUAACAAUGUGUAUGACAGCUCAUCCUUCAUAGCGCUUCACUCUAGGGGUGUAAAUAAGCCAAGCCGAGCUAUGAAUAGCUUCAGCUCGGUUCGCUAUAUUUUUUCAGGUUGUAGCUCAACUCGAGCUUUAAUAUUAUAGCUCAAGCUUGGCUUGUUUUAUAAAUACCAAGCUCGAGCUCAACAAAAGCUUGUUUAUAUUAUAAACGAGCCAAGCUUUUGUUUGGCUUGUCUAUAUUAUAAUGAACAAGCUUGGGCUUGAUUUGUAGCUCAGCUCAUCUAUAUUAUAAACUAACUGAGUUCGAGCUCGUUAAUAUUAUUAUAUUA
This 936-nucleotide unclassified non-coding RNA is filed under the name Hevea brasiliensis (rubber tree). Lineage: Eukaryota; Viridiplantae; Streptophyta; Magnoliopsida; Malpighiales; Euphorbiaceae. The record is from RNAcentral.